Aphis gossypii (cotton aphid) is the source of this 2561-nucleotide long non-coding RNA. RefSeq lists it as uncharacterized. The record is from RefSeq and is a predicted model, not a curated record. The transcript is spliced from 3 exons. Lineage: Eukaryota; Metazoa; Arthropoda; Insecta; Hemiptera; Aphididae.
ACCUCGGGCUGGGAGCAACUUACAAAAGAAGCUACCGUACUACAGUGUCGUUCAGUUAGGGGGAAUCGAGAGCGUAACUCGGCUUCAGGGUCUGAGAGCCGUUCGUGAAUGAGCGUUCCUCAACUUUAACCUUAACCGGGGAGAUCGGCCAGUAAUCUUUACCGAAUAACGGGCGGUCAUUAAGACGUAACUAUUUACAAUUAGCGCGAAGAACGGACUUCCGGAGGUUGGCAACUUUGGUCGUAGAAGCCAGACACCGACGUGGAUUGACCCCGAACAGGCAGUAAACACGAUAUGCAAUCCACUAAAGAGCCCGUCGUGAUCCGGAGGCAACAGGACUUAACCUGGCGGUAGGUAUCAAAUGCAGGGAAGGACACUCGCGAAACCAUAAAUAUGAUUGUAAAUAAAACAAAAUUUACAACAAGGAAUAUGCCGAUCGAUUCGGUAAAUUCACCCUCUGAGGAGGUAUGGGCACACAGAUUCUGGGGAGAGGGGACAUUUACAGUCAUCAUUCAGCCAGAUAUGUGCGGACUGGUUUACAUGCCUUCGAGCGAAAAAUCUGACCUAAAUCUGACAAAUAAUAAAAAUCACGCAAUAAUCCUUAACAAUACAGGUUAUGACCUGAGUAAAAGCUCGAUUUUAAGACUCGGAAGAGGUAAAGACAAUGGAGAAUACCGCUUCUUUCUCUGACACUUAGCUCGAAAUACGGAGCAGAAAGCCCCGGGUCAGUCAGUUCCGAUGACCCUCAUAGCAACGAGAUUGAGCUGCACUGUGGGGUCAUAGAAUCUCAUAUCACGAGCUCGAAGAAAAUCCUCGAGAACAUGACGAAGGAAGCCAAAGUUCGUAGACGUUGGUCGGGCAUGCUUAAUAGUCAGCUGGACGAGAUACUUAUAAGAGUAAGACGACUUGGAAUAACAAGCGUCAAGAUCCUCGGCAGCUGGUCUGAGCAAAGUGUUGAACCUCAUGAGCUCUACCAGUAAAUUGGUGACUUGUUUAGUGACCUGGGAACUUUCCGAGAACAGAACUGCAUAUUAUAAUGUAAACCUAUUUUAAUAUUUUAGAUGAACCUAUGAAUCAGGAACUAAUUUCUUCUCAGGUGGAAAUUACAGAAAAAUUCUCAUCAAUUGAUUGGUCACAGAUCCAAUCAACCUCAACCUCUAAGAGAAAUUCAGUCGCAAGAAGUUUGAUCAUUCUUUUAGUUCGAAAGAAUCCACAGUAUUAAUAGUAUCAUCAACGGAUACUUCUUGUUAGACCAUCCAAAGCCUUUCCAGUCAUACGCCUAGAAAAGAUUAACUUAAAAAAAUGUUAAGUCGCCAAAAAUAUAAGUAUAACGAACUUAAAUAAAAAUUUAAUAUUUAAAAAAAAAUCAUGCAGCUGACCAGAAAAUGUAUACUUCGUUAAAACAUUUUCAAUUAAUGUGUGAUAAGUUUCUUAAAAAAAGGUUUUCAAAUUUUAUUAAAGUUCAAUCCCGACUGACUUCUCAUAAUCCUAAAGGUCGUAGAUACUCUUAUGAGACAAAACAAUUUGCACUCAUGGUACAUUUUUUAAGCCUUAAGGUUUAUAGAUUUCUUCAAUGGAUUUGUCUUCACCUAGAACUUUACAAAUAACGACUGAAAACUGGGAAUUAAAUCCUGUUAUAAAUUAAUUUUCGUUUCAAGUUCUAGCUGUGAAAGUAAAAUCCAUAGAACCUAAGUCUAAAGAAUGUGUCUUGUGUGCAGAUGAAAUGUCUUUUAAAUCUUUUCUUUACUAUGACAUAAAAAAAGAUGAAAUCGUGAGUUUUCAUAAAACUAACACUUUUAAAUCUUGUAAUCUGGCAAAAGAGUCCGUUAUGGUUAUUAUGAUUCAUGGAAACAACCUAUUGCUUAUUUUUUUGUAGCAAAAUCUUGUACAAGACCUGAUUUACUUUCCAUAAUUUUUAGUAUGAUUCAUAAGUUACACAGUAUCUCCUUAAAUGUUAGAGUCAUAAUUUCUGAUUAAGGAUCAACUUUAAAGAAGUUUGUGGAUACCAGGCACAUUACUCCGGAAUCUUCUUAUUUUAAUGUUAGUUGUAAAGAAAUUGUGUUUAUGUUUGAUCCACCUCAUUUAUUAAAGCCAACAAUAAAUAAUUUCUUCAAUUAUCGGUUCAAAUCAUUCAAUAAAGUAGCAGAAAAAAUUCAUCUGGAAGAAUUUUACAAAUUAGAUAAAUCUCAAGUACAUCAUUGAUGCCUAAAUUAACUGAUCUACAUUAAAACCCGAAUAGUUACCGAAAAUGCGUGUCAAGUAUGCAUCUCAAAUUUUUAGUCAUACAGUUGUGACAUGGAUAAUUACUCUAAUUUCUAAUAAAAAUUUACCUUAAACUGUUUUCGAUAAUAUUGAAUUUAUUGACAACAUGGACACACUUUUCGACUUUUUUAAUUCUCAUCCAGUUUCUAAUAAACAUUCUGAUGGAAACAAAAUUGGUUUUAAACGGUUUUGUAUCCCAUUUACAAAAUCUAAAGACCAAAAAUCAUUUUUAAACUGUAUGACAAAUUAUUUUAAAAAUUUAGAAGUUCAAAAAUUCGAUGCCUUGAAAAAUGAGUGGA